This 550-nucleotide ribosomal RNA is filed under the name uncultured bacterium. RNAcentral describes it as "bacterial SSU rRNA". It matches the Rfam family "Bacterial small subunit ribosomal RNA", at positions 355 to 896 of the family's 1533-position model. The record is from RNAcentral.
UAGGGAAUCUUCCGCAAUGGGCGAAAGCCUGACGGAGCAACGCCGCGUGAGUGAUGAAGGUCUUCGGAUCGUAAAACUCUGUUAUUAGGGAAGAACAUAUGUGUAAGUAACUGUGCACAUCUUGACGGUACCUAAUCAGAAAGCCACGGCUAACUACGUGCCAGCAGCCGCGGUAAUACGUAGGUGGCAAGCGUUAUCCGGAAUUAUUGGGCGUAAAGCGCGCGUAGGCGGUUUUUUAAGUCUGAUGUGAAAGCCCACGGCUCAACCGUGGAGGGUCAUUGGAAACUGGAAAACUUGAGUGCAGAAGAGGAAAGUGGAAUUCCAUGUGUAGCGGUGAAAUACGCAGAGAUAUGGAGGAACACCAGUGGCGAAGGCGACUUUCUGGUCUGUAACUGACGCUGAUGUGCGAAAGCGUGGGGAUCAAACAGGAUUAGAUACCCUGGUAGUCCACGCCGUAAACGAUGAGUGCUAAGUGUUAGGGGGUUUCCGCCCCUUAGUGCUGCAGCUAACGCAUUAAGCACUCCGCCUGGGGAGUACGACCGCAAGGUUG